RNAcentral lists this ribosomal RNA (253 nucleotides) under uncultured bacterium. RNAcentral describes it as "partial 16S ribosomal RNA". It matches the Rfam family "Bacterial small subunit ribosomal RNA", at positions 524 to 776 of the family's 1533-position model. The record is from RNAcentral.
UACAGAGGGGGCAAGCGUUGUUCGGAAUUACUGGGCGUAAAGGGCGCGUAGGCGGCCUGCUAAGUCGAACGUGAAAUCCCCGAGCUCAACUCGGGAACUGCGUCCGAUACUGGCAGGCUUGAAUCCGGGAGAGGGAUGCGGAAUUCCAGGUGUAGCGGUGAAAUGCGUAGAUAUCUGGAGGAAUACCGGUGGCGAAGGCGGCAUCCUGGACCGACAUUGACGCUGAGGAGCGAAAGCUAGGGGAGCAAACGGG